AGUUUUAACUACAUUGUAACUAUGUGAAUCCCCAUUUCAUUAUACAUGUAGAUGAAUUCCGCCUUCAAAUAAUCUUGCAUUGUCAAAGUAUCUCAAAGUUUCGAAGCAGCUGACCAAAGCAACGCGGCUCCCAGCUCAGGCGGCCAGUAGACCCCAGCAGCUAGCAGUGUUCGUGUGUAGCUGUGUGUUUUUUCUCGAGCAUUUAUUAGUGAUCAAGGUGGAAGAGGACUGCCGUGGCGCUACUCAAGGCCCAGCAGAGCGGUGAGUGCGCGGCUCGGCGCGGAGGUCGAGGUGGCUUGAGUGCCGCUGGCGUGUUCAAUUGUCGCCGUGGGUCUCCUCAGCGGUCACGUUUGACACAAGAGAUGGUGGUGGUGUGUCAUGCAGUGAGGCUCGUUAGUUCCAGCUUGAUGGACGCAGGCCUUUAGAAAGCGACUGAAUAGAAGAAUAGAGAUGCUUAUCCUAAAAGUACGAGAUUAUUCUGAUAAUAUUAAGUAACACGAUCGUCGUCAUCUGAGGGC
Molecule: long non-coding RNA, 518 nt
Filed under: Portunus trituberculatus (swimming crab)
Lineage: Eukaryota; Metazoa; Arthropoda; Malacostraca; Decapoda; Portunidae
Description: uncharacterized LOC123498157, transcript variant X2
Source: RNAcentral